This 392-nucleotide ribosomal RNA is filed under the name uncultured bacterium. RNAcentral describes it as "bacterial SSU rRNA". It matches the Rfam family "Bacterial small subunit ribosomal RNA", at positions 355 to 766 of the family's 1533-position model. The record is from RNAcentral.
UUAGGAAUCUUCCACAAUGGGCGAAAGCCUGAUGGAGCGACGCCGCGUGAGGGAUGAAGGCCUUAGGGUUGUAAACCUCUAAAAGAGGGACGAUAAUGACGGUACCUCUUGAAUAGCACCGGCUAACUCCGUGCCAGCAGCCGCGGUAAUACGGAGGGUGCAAGCGUUAUCCGGAAUCACUGGGCGUAAAGGGCGCGUAGGCGGUCUGUUAAGUCCGAUGUUAAAUCCCGGGGCUCAACCCCGGAUAAGCGUUGGAUACUGGCAGGCUAGACGGUUGGAGAGGCGAGUGGAAUUACCAGGGGAGCGGUGGAAUGCGUAAAUACUGGUAGGAACACCCAUUGCGAAGGCAGCUCGCUGGACAACACGUGACGCUGAGGCGCGAAAGUGUGGGG